Molecule: ribosomal RNA, 253 nt
Filed under: uncultured Dorea sp.
Lineage: Bacteria; Bacillati; Bacillota; Clostridia; Lachnospirales; Lachnospiraceae
Description: partial 16S ribosomal RNA
Rfam family: Bacterial small subunit ribosomal RNA
Source: RNAcentral
UACGUAGGGGGCAAGCGUUAUCCGGAUUUACUGGGUGUAAAGGGAGCGUAGACGGUAUGGCAAGUCUGAUGUGAAAACCCGGGGCUCAACCCCGGGACUGCAUUGGAAACUGCCGAACUAGAGUGUCGGAGAGGCAAGUGGAACUCCAUGUGUAGCGGUAAAAUGCGUAGAUAUAUGGAAGAACACCAGUGGCGAAGGCGGCCGCCUGGCCUGUUGCUGACGCUGAGGCACGAAAGCGUGGGGAGCAAAUAGG